GCUUGGAGCAGGUGGCGUGGUCCACCACAGGCAAGAGAGCCUGCUGCAGGAUGUCGGCAAUGGGACCUCCAGCUGAGUGGAGGAGAGAUACAUACAUGCUCAAGCAUGGUCAGCUCAGAGGAAAGAGACUGAGCACUCACUAUAGAGGCGACCCCAUCCAGUGACGUAGCAGGGCUCAUUAUGGGGAAGGAUGAAGCCAGCAGUGGGGAGACAAGCAGCCAUGAUGGCAUCAGAGAAGGUAACAGGGGACUCCAGCUUGAUCAGGGCAA
Lates calcarifer (barramundi perch) is the source of this 269-nucleotide long non-coding RNA. RefSeq lists it as uncharacterized. The transcript is spliced from 2 exons. NCBI's taxonomy places the organism in Eukaryota, Metazoa, Chordata, Actinopteri, Centropomidae. The record is from RefSeq and is a predicted model, not a curated record.